ACAAUUUGGAAACAGAUGCUAAUACCGCAUAAAUCCAAGAACCGCAUGGUUCUUGGCUGAAAGAUGGCGUAAGCUAUCGCUUUUGGAUGGACCCGCGUUGGAUUAGCCAGUUGGCAGGGUAACGGCCUACCAAAGCGACGAUCCAUAGCCGGCCUGAGAGGGUGAACGGCCACAUUGGGACUGAGACACGGCCCAGACUCAUACGGGAGGCAGCAUG
Molecule: ribosomal RNA, 217 nt
Filed under: uncultured bacterium
Lineage: Bacteria
Description: partial 16S ribosomal RNA
Rfam family: Bacterial small subunit ribosomal RNA
Source: RNAcentral